ACUUUAACCCGGUUAAAAAGUUUUUUCUUUAAAUGUGUAAAGGUUAUGUCAAUAAAAGACAAUAAUUUGUGUGUUACUGUUACUUUUUACAAUAUUAAGUAGCAUUUUAUAUGUGAAGGGAUUAACAAACGAAAGGUUCGUGUAGACCAAGAAAAUGUAACCUAUAGCCUACCUAGGGCGCUUAUCAAUACAAAAAAAACUGGAAGCUACUACAUUUUAGGUCUGAGUCUUAGAUUUCUGUAUCUGUUUCGUGAUCAUUUGAUUAUUCUGUGCAAGCAGACCACCACCACCCUCUUGGCAUCUAAGGAACAUGACUUAGCCGGACUAAUUCAGAGAGUGCAGGCAAAAUUGAGAAGUUUGGACUACACAUAUAAAUAUCCAAAACUAAAGUAAUGAUAAUCGAUAGAUCAAGGAAACUCACUGAGAGAACACACACGGUGAACUGAGAGAUCUAGAAAUAGUACGGGCGUUUAUAUACCCCGGUUCCGUGAUAAGCAGUCAAGAAGGAAACAAAAACGAAAUCCGAAGAACCCAGAUGACCAACUACGCAAUGAACCAACUGGUAUUUUUAUGGAAGGACCGGAUAUCCUUACAAACAAAGAAAUUGGUUCAGAAUCUGGUAUUUCCGGUUUUCCUCUGUAGCGCUGAAUCCUGGACAAAACGGACAUCUGUAAGGAGAAAAAUAGAUGCUUUGGAAAUGUGGUGUUGGAGGCGGAUGCCAGGGAUUCCCUGGACAGCUUAGGCAACAAACGUGUCCAUACUAAGACGGACGAAAGAAUCGUCUUCCGACACUUUGUUAUCAAAGUAUCCUUAACGAGUUUUUUUAUAAUACGCAGAGAUCCAGAAAGUUUAGAAAAAGUUAUCGUGACUGAGUGAAGAGUAGCAGCAGACCGUACUUACGGGCCCCAUCAUCAACCAGGCGUAUUAGGCCCAUAUAGUAUACGUUCGUCACUGGUUCAAAAAAAAAUAUAUUUUUUUUUAAAUAUAAUAGGGCAAACGAGCUUGCGGGACGACCAAAAAGGGCAGUCUACGCAGCCCAUAGACACCCAUUUUUUGUGGGUUCGUUGCCGGCCUUUGAGGGAGGAGUAGACUCGCUUUUUGAACAUGCACUUUCAUUUGAUUCUAGAACAAUUAAGACUAUGAUAUCAUUUUACGGCCAUGAAAGAAGUCAAGUUCAAGUUCAAGAUAUCACCAACGGAAAUAGAAAAUGUAAUCUGUGGUUACCCAGGCGUCUUGGAUGUUGCUGUGACCAGUAUUCCUGAUCUGGAGUGUGGGGACUUGCCCGUGGCUUGUGUGAAAACCUUAAAGGGCACUCAGGUCUCCGCUCAGGAGAUUAAAGAUCUAGUUAAGGGUAAGUAACGACUAUGAAUAAUUUGGCAUUAAUAUCAUGUUGCUCUAAAACGUUAAACAAACAAUUAUGAAUUAAAGUAUACACAACUUAAAAAAAAUUAAAUCCAAUAGAACUAUUAUUCUAUAUCAAUGAUUAUCUAAUCUUUAUAAGAAUAAUAUACUGACGGACUCAUAAACUGCAUCAAACUUCAGGAUUACUUUGAAAUGAUUUUUUUAAUAAGUAUGCAAACUUUUUAGAUUCAAUUAUAUAAAUAUGGAGAGACUGGCCCUUAAUCUUAAAAUAAAAAGCAAUAUUUAAAAAUAGAACUGCAGUAAAACAAAUGAAUAUGCCGGGAAAAGAAAAUUUACUCGUAUCAGAAUUGCGUGAUUUGAAAAUUGAUUCUUAUUGAUUUUUUAUUCUUUUGACAGUUGAAUUAUUGUUACCAGCAGAAUUGUUGGGUUAGCUUUUUAACUCAUCGAGAGUUUCUGAACCAUAAUAUGCAUACUUCGUCCGAACAAGCUGCUCAAAUUGUAGCAUUGGUGCGGGAGGGCUUGGAUCAACGAACGAUUGGUAGAAAUUUAAAUUUAAACCAGUCUACGGUUUCUAGAAUAUACAGAAGGUUUGUGACAGGUUCUUACAAAAGGAGACGUGGUACAGGCAGAACUCGAGCAACCACAACUUCCCUGCGACAUCGUUUCCUCACCUCAGUUAACAUCAAAACAGAGCUUAAUGAAGUGCGUGGAGUAAACGUUAGUGCACGAACAAUAAGAAGAAGGUUAAAGGAAGCGGAUAUCACAGACAGUUUCUAUGUCAAAUCCAUCAAUCUUGUGAUGUAACUUUUUUAUCGUCCUGAAGUGAAACCUGAUGGUAUGCAUGUAACGAUCCAACCAUGCACAUUUAUUUAUCGUAAUUAUAAUCGAAAAACAUAAUCUUAGAUUUAUUAGGCAUUUUCCAGGUAACCUUCAAAAAAGAAUUAACCGCGGAGCUGAAUAUUAUAUUUAGCUUCAGUGGUGACGUAAAACCAGGGGGUCUACAGGUUCCAAAAAGGAUGACGAAGAGGAGUUCCAGAAGAAUGACCUGGAUCCAGCACCAACUCCUCGACAGAAAGAUCUAGUCAUUCUAGACAUACUUACAUCACAUAGUAGACGACAGAGUAAUGCUAAGCAAUUGGCCGCUAUGCGAAAAUAUAGUAAAGAUUAGGCCAUAUUACAUACAGAAAUGAUUAUUUUUAUAUGUCUUUUCUCCUCGUUAUCUCUGAUUACGACUAAUAAGUCUAUUCGAUUUCAACAAUUUUUCUUCGCCUUAUAACCCAAUAUUUAUAUUGUAUUUUUCAUUAGUAUAAAUGAAACGAUGAACGACUAGUUUGAAGUAUCAAUAAAUGUAUUGUUUAUU
Molecule: long non-coding RNA, 2722 nt
Organism: Pieris napi
Lineage: Eukaryota; Metazoa; Arthropoda; Insecta; Lepidoptera; Pieridae
Exons: 2
Source: RefSeq, a predicted model, not a curated record